This 75-nucleotide transfer RNA is filed under the name Thermoplasmatales archaeon. RNAcentral describes it as "tRNA-Arg". It matches the Rfam family "tRNA". Rfam says of the family: Transfer RNA (tRNA) molecules are approximately 80 nucleotides in length. Their secondary structure includes four short double-helical elements and three loops (D, anti-codon, and T loops). The record is from RNAcentral. RNAcentral also lists the same sequence under 1 other name. Lineage: Archaea; Methanobacteriati; Thermoplasmatota; Thermoplasmata; Thermoplasmatales.
GGGCGUGUGGCCCAGCCAGGAUAGGGCACUGGCCUUCUAAGCCAGUGGUCGCGGGUUCAAAUCCCGCCACGCCCG